This 274-nucleotide ribosomal RNA is filed under the name uncultured bacterium. RNAcentral describes it as "partial 16S ribosomal RNA". It matches the Rfam family "Bacterial small subunit ribosomal RNA", at positions 523 to 796 of the family's 1533-position model. The record is from RNAcentral.
AUACGGAGGGUGCGAGCGUUAAUCGGAAUUACUGGGCGUAAAGCGCGCGUAGGCGGUUUGGUCAGUCGGAUGUGAAAGCCCUGGGCUCAACCUGGGAAUGGCAUUCGAUACUGCCUGACUAGAGUAUGGUAGAGGGAAGUGGAAUUUCCGGUGUAGCGGUGAAAUGCGUAGAUAUCGGAAGGAACACCAGUGGCGAAGGCGACUUCCUGGGCCAAUACUGACGCUGAGGUGCGAAAGCGUGGGGAGCAAACAGGAUUAGAUACCCCGGUAGUCC